UACGUAGGGGGCAAGCGUUGUCCGGAAUUAUUGGGCGUAAAGAGCGUGUAGGCGGUCCGGUAAGUCAGCUGUGAAAGUCAAGGGCUCAACCCUUGAAUGCCGGUUGAUACUGUCGGGCUAGAGUCCGGAAGAGGCGAGUGGAAUUCCCGGUGUAGCGGUGAAAUGCGCAGAUAUCGGGAGGAACACCAAUAGCGAAGGCAGCUCGCUGGGACGUUACUGACACUGAGGCGCGAAAGCGUGGGGAGCAAACAGG
Molecule: ribosomal RNA, 253 nt
Filed under: uncultured bacterium
Lineage: Bacteria
Description: partial 16S ribosomal RNA
Rfam family: Bacterial small subunit ribosomal RNA
Source: RNAcentral